Molecule: long non-coding RNA, 390 nt
Filed under: Daucus carota (carrot)
Lineage: Eukaryota; Viridiplantae; Streptophyta; Magnoliopsida; Apiales; Apiaceae
Description: long non-coding RNA (DCAR_LNC006527)
Source: RNAcentral
GCCUCCCUCUCUUCUCUCUAACCCUAAUUCUAAUCUAAAAGUGUACAAUGAUAAAAACUAAUCCUCUCUCUAAUAAUAAAGUAUUUUAAUAUUUAAAACUUAUAUAAAAAUAGAAAUCCAAAACCAAGUAGGAUUUUGUCUUAAAAUUCGCAGCUUUCUGUUCUGUCCAGUUUUCGGGCUUUUCCUGUUGGACUUUGCAUCUUGGACCACUUCUGAAUUAAAGGAAAUGUCAGGGGCUUCGCGUGGGCUGUAAGAUCGUCCAAAUCCGACAUCCGGAACUCAAGAUAUGGGCCAAACAGUGUAGAAAUUGGGUAGAACCCAAUAAAUUCGAAUUUUAAUAGAAAUUAGCUCCAAAAUAGCUAAUUUAUCUCCAAAUCCUUCUCAACUUGG